CUUUUCUUGUUACCCCGCCUAUAUACCGCCGUCGUCAGCUUACCCUGCAAAGGACACAUAGUAAGCAAAGUUGGUAAGACCCAAAACGCCAGGUCGAGGUGUAGCGUAUGAAAAGGAAAGAAAUGGGCUACAUUCCGUGACACAAUGAAUACGAAUGAUGGACUGAAAAACCCAUCUGAAGGAGGAUUUAGCAGUAAGAGGAAAGCAGAGAGUUCCCCUGAAGCAGGCCCUGAAGCGCGUACACACCGCCCGUCACUCUCCCCGAAUACACUAAACCUGUAAGUAACACAAUGAACCAGACAAGGGGAGGCAAGUCGUAACAUGGUAAGUGUACCGGAAGGUGCACUUGGAAAAAC
This 356-nucleotide ribosomal RNA is filed under the name Pseudocheilinus hexataenia (sixline wrasse). RNAcentral describes it as "partial 12S ribosomal RNA". It matches the Rfam family "Bacterial small subunit ribosomal RNA", at positions 975 to 1527 of the family's 1533-position model. Lineage: Eukaryota; Metazoa; Chordata; Actinopteri; Labriformes; Labridae. The record is from RNAcentral.